UGGGGAAUUUUGGACAAUGGGGGCAACCCUGAUCCAGCAAUGCCGCGUGUGUGAAGAAGGCCUUCGGGUUGUAAAGCACUUUUGGCGGGAACGAAACGGCGCUAGCUAAUACCUGGCGCUAAUGACGGUACCCGCAGAAUAAGCACCGGCUAACUACGUGCCAGCAGCCGCGGUAAUACGUAGGGUGCAAGCGUUAAUCGGAAUUACUGGGCGUAAAGCGUGCGCAGGCGGUUUUGUAAGACGGAUGUGAAAUCCCCGGGCUCAACCUGGGAACUGCAUUCGUGACUGCAAGGCUAGAGUGUGUCAGAGGGAGGUGGAAUUCCGCGUGUAGCAGUGAAAUGCGUAGAGAUGCGGAGGAACACCGAUGGCGAAGGCAGCCUCCUGGGAUAACACUGACGCUCAUGCACGAAAGCGUGGGGAGCAAACAGG
This 429-nucleotide ribosomal RNA is filed under the name uncultured bacterium. RNAcentral describes it as "bacterial SSU rRNA". It matches the Rfam family "Bacterial small subunit ribosomal RNA", at positions 355 to 776 of the family's 1533-position model. The record is from RNAcentral.